CCUACGGGUGGCAGCAGUGAGGAAUAUUGGUCAAUGGCCGGAAGGCUGAACCAGCCAAGCCGCGUGAGGGAGGACGGCGCAGAGCGUCGCAGACCUCUUUUGUCGGGGGACAAAAGGCCGGACGCGUCCGGUUCUGAGGGUACCCGGAGAAAAAGCAUCGGCUAACUCCGUGCCAGCAGCCGCGGUAAUACGGAGGAUGCGAGCGUUGUUCGGAUUUAUUGGGUUUAAAGGGAGCGUAGAUGGGUUGUUAAGUCAGUUGGGAAAGUUUGCGGCUCAACCGUAAAAUUGCAAUUGAUACUGGCAGCCUUGAGUACAGGAGAGGUAGGCGGAAUUCGUGGUGUAGCGGUGAAAUGCAUAGAUAUCACGAAGAACUCCGAUUGCGAAGGCAGCCUACUGGACUGCCACUGACGUUGAUGCUCGAAAGUGUGGGUAUCAAACAGGAUUAGAUACCCCAGUAGUC
Molecule: ribosomal RNA, 460 nt
Filed under: uncultured bacterium
Lineage: Bacteria
Description: partial 16S ribosomal RNA
Rfam family: Bacterial small subunit ribosomal RNA
Source: RNAcentral